RNAcentral lists this unclassified non-coding RNA (314 nucleotides) under Hevea brasiliensis (rubber tree). The record is from RNAcentral. Lineage: Eukaryota; Viridiplantae; Streptophyta; Magnoliopsida; Malpighiales; Euphorbiaceae.
GCAGAAUCGGAUUUCGUGAUCAGAUCCUUACCAAUUAUCCGAUCCCAUAUCCAUGAACUUGGACCGUCCAAUCAUCUUCAUCCACUCAGUUGUUCACUAAAUAUGAACUCUGAUAGAAAUGAGCAUGGUUUACAUGAGAAUACAUCCGAGUCCUCAACUCCGGAAGUGGAUUCUAAAACCAAUAUGUUACUAGGCCGCCACAUAUCUACAUCAGCACCGGAUCUUGAUCCUGAGAAGUGGGGAGACCAGAGAGGCGCUCCAGUCAACCCUGCAGUUGAGUUGUCCCUCUGUAGACACUUGCUUUUCGAAGGGAU